This 291-nucleotide unclassified non-coding RNA is filed under the name uncultured fungus. RNAcentral's name for it is "partial contains 5.8S ribosomal RNA, internal transcribed spacer 2, and large subunit ribosomal RNA". The record is from RNAcentral. Lineage: Eukaryota; Fungi.
AGCGCACCUUGCGCCCCAUGGUAUUCCAUGGAGCAUGCCUGUUUGAGUGUCACGUGAAACUAUCACUCUUGUCCUGUCGCAAGACAUGUCAGGAUGUGGACUUGGACUGUGCCGUAGUUGGCUCGUCUUGAAAUGCAUUAGCCGUGCUGGUUAGAUUCGGCCACCUGGUGUGAUAUACGUCUACGCCUACCGUGCGGUCUCUUCCUGAGCGUGACUCAUAAUCGUCGCUCGUUCGACAACACAAAUUAACGCUCUGGCCUCAAAUCAGGUAGGACUACCCGCUGAACUUAA